GAGAAACAGAAGGACGAGGAGGAAGAAGAGUAAAAGAAAAAGGGAGGACGAGGAAGAAGAGGAAAGAGCAAGGAGGGAGGAGAGGAAGAGGAAAGAGCAAGAAGGAGGGAGAGGAAGAGAAGACACGAAAGCAAAAGGUUCGUCCACAACAAAGUUUGACUAAACAUUAGCGUAAUUAGAUUUUAUUUUUAUAAUUGUAUUAAAAUCCAUUUAAUGAUUAUAAUGUUUUCAAGCUUAGAGAUCAGUUUUAGCUUGAUGAUAUUGAUAAUGUUUUAUUCGAAAAUAUCCACAUAAAGGGAAAGGUUUUUAAGUGAAUAAUUUUAAAGUAAAUAAUAAAGUGAAUGAUUUUUAGAAGUUCUUUGUGACAAUAAUGUUCAUGUCCUACUUGAAGAACCUGGCCAAAUUCAAAACCUAGUUAACGUAAUUUUAUUGUUCGUAAAGGUUAAUUGUAUUCCUUAAUUUAGAUCAUGAUUAUCGUAAUGGUUAAUUGAAUCACUGAAUUUAUGUAGUGAUUAUCGGAAAUGUUAACUGAAUUACUUAAUUUAUAUAAUGACUAAUGAUUAUCCACAAAUAUCCUAAUCAAACAUUUAUAGCACAUGUGUCCCAAGAUCGCCACCAAGGUUUGUUUUUAUUAAAUUACUAAUUUGUCAAUGGAUCAACAAUACAUAUAUUACGAAGACUUUAAAAUUGCUAACAAGAAUCUCAGAUUUGAAAAAGGGUUAAAGUUUCUUUAUGUUACUUUGAUAUAACAUGGCUGCAAAUAGCAUAGUUUUUUUAUUAUCAUUAUCAUUAGUCUUAAAAACAUCUGCAUUACCAUUCAUAUUGGUAUAGUUAGUGCUGCUUCUAUUACUGCUAUCAUUUUUGUUACUUUUGUUAUUGUUGUUAUUGCUAUGUUUAUAAUGAUGCUAAUGAUUGUCAUUGAUGAUUGCCAUUUCAUUAAGGGUCAAUAUCACUAAUCAAAAAAAGAAAAAAAAAGAAAAAAAGAAAAAAAAAUCAUUAUCACUGAUAUGAAAAUAUAAAAGUAAAAUAUAGUCAAUCAAUCUUAUUACCCUUAUUGAUAAAACUAAUUACUAUACUCAUUCAUCACACUCAUUAUCAAUUAAUAUUUCUAACCCUUUUUAAAAUUCGUAAUGCUGAAGAGGAGAUAGGAACACAACUGAUUGGAAGAAAACCAUCUGUUCGCCGAGAUUGGGUGACCUUUCGCUGCUCUUUGGGAUCUGUGUUAGGACGCAUGAUGCUAAUGACCUGCGAUGAUCUGACCUGUCCUCGAUCACAAUUCAAGACCAUUUCCAGUUUUCAGUGUGUGAAUGAAACCCCGUCAAGAGCCUUCGGACCGGCAGCCUCCCCCGCUCUGUGGCCAAGUGUUCGUUAAUAACCACAUAUCUUUUGUAGAAGUUUAUGAUUUAUUUUUCGCCAAGCAGAAAUGUAUGCAUGAGUUGAAAUACCAAAUAAAAUUAUCCCCUGUUUA
This 1468-nucleotide long non-coding RNA is filed under the name Penaeus japonicus. RNAcentral's name for it is "uncharacterized LOC122249923, transcript variant X1". The record is from RNAcentral. Lineage: Eukaryota; Metazoa; Arthropoda; Malacostraca; Decapoda; Penaeidae.